GACCAAGUACGGGUUUGCAAGCCACAUAUAAUUACAGUAUGUAUGUGACUUGCAAAGCCAAGCUUGUAU
RNAcentral lists this microRNA precursor (69 nucleotides) under Plutella xylostella (diamondback moth). Its description in RNAcentral is "microRNA pxy-mir-8524 precursor (pxy-mir-8524-1, pxy-mir-8524-2)". Lineage: Eukaryota; Metazoa; Arthropoda; Insecta; Lepidoptera; Plutellidae. The record is from miRBase by way of RNAcentral.